RNAcentral lists this ribosomal RNA (492 nucleotides) under uncultured bacterium. RNAcentral describes it as "partial 16S ribosomal RNA". It matches the Rfam family "Bacterial small subunit ribosomal RNA", at positions 29 to 507 of the family's 1533-position model. The record is from RNAcentral.
AGUGAACGCUGGCGGUAGGCCUAACACAUGCAAGUCGAACGGCAGCACAGUAAGAGCUUGCUCUUACGGGUGGCGAGUGGCGGACGGGUGAGGAAUACAUCGGAAUCUACUUUUUCGUGGGGGAUAACGUAGGGAAACUUACGCUAAUACCGCAUACGACCUACGGGUGAAAGCAGGGGAUCUUCGGACCUUGCGCGAUUGAAUUAGCCGAUGUCGGAUUAGCUAGUUGGCGGGGUAAAGGCCCACCAAGGCGACGAUCCGUAGCUGGUCUGAGAGGAUGAUCAGCCACACUGGAACUGAGACACGGUCCAGACUCCUACGGGAGGCAGCAGUGGGGAAUAUUGGACAAUGGGCGCAAGCCUGAUCCAGCCAUACCGCGUGGGUGAAGAAGGCCUUCGGGUUGUAAAGCCCUGUUGUUGGGAAAGAAAAGCAGCAGGUUAAUACCCCGAUGUUCUGACGGUACCCAAAGAAUAAGCAACGGCUAACUUCGUG